Molecule: long non-coding RNA, 3831 nt
Organism: Halichondria panicea
Lineage: Eukaryota; Metazoa; Porifera; Demospongiae; Suberitida; Halichondriidae
Exons: 5
Source: RefSeq, a predicted model, not a curated record
AGUAAGUUCUGAGAUACACAGAAUUUUGUAAAUUUUUAGUAGCAAAUGUGUUAGGCAGAGUUUAUGCUAGUUAAGGUCUGAUUUUUGAGGAGCAUGUACUACAAUAGUAUACUUUUCAUUUGUGCUAACUCUACACCAGUCUCUUCUUUGCUGUGAUUUUAGCUGAUUUUCUUGGUUUCUGUUGCGUAGUAGUGUAAAUUGCCAUGCCCCUGUGACACAUUAUGACUGAACAACUGGGUGUAGUUGCCAGGUAGACAUCACAUGAGCAAGUGUCAGAAUGAGCAAAGAUGAUAGACCUGAGCAUUCUUGGUGUCAACUUGCUCAAACUACUUAGCAUAGCAACUCUAAUACAAGAGAGCAAGGUGACAGGUAUUGACGGAGCUCUCUGAGCAAGAUUUGAUAGAUAAUGCUAAGCUAUGUUCAAGUAAUGUUGGUGUGAGCAUUAUAUUUGAAAGUGCAGCCAAAGUGCAGCCAGACGAGUACAGAACGAUACUAAGCAGGUAGUCUUAGGCUAGCAGAGAGUGUGGUGUCACUGACUGACUUAAAGUACUGAGUAUUGCCAGAUAAACUUAAUUUAUUAUAUAGUGUACGAGUAGUGUACAAGUGUACUAAGCGGGUAGCAUUGCUACCCGGUACCCGUACCCAUGAAUUGUGGUUGCCCAAGCUAAUGUGAGAGGAAACUGUAAUCUAGUGAUCUCUGCACCACGUUUACCUUUAGCCAAAAACACAACUUCAAGUUUACUCAGUGGUACUGCAUUACCCACUCUUGUUGGACUCUUUGUGUUGACGGCUUCAGAGUUACUAAGAACUUGUGAAUAACUUUUAGUACCUGCACUCAAAUUGAUCCACUCACAUUUAGUUUAGAAGAUAUACACAAAAACGUAAAAAAACAAAAGUUCUACUCUCUUUGGUUGUUGCACUGUUAAACUGUUAACUAGUUUCAGAACCAGAAAAUAAUCAAAUUGAUGGUGAAACUGUUUAGUUCAGACUUUCGAUUCCGAAUCAGUGUUCUUGACAACAUUAUUACAACGUAAAGAGCGAUUUUUUGAUCCGAAAUUUGAUUAUCGCAUUGGUCAACUUGUACGAUCACUCCACAAUCUAAGAACGAGCACCUAAGAACGAGCACCGUCGGAUCUACUCUUCCAUUACCCCCACUUUGCCCCCACUUUACAAGGACUAUAGUGGUGAGCCUUGCUGUGGCCAAAACCGUUGCUGUGUACAGGAUCACCAAGGCAAUUCCACGGCGACUUGUUUCAACCCACUUCACCAAUAGGGGACAAAUUGCUUGGAAUUGGUAUAGAGAAAUCAUAAAUUAAAAUGAAAGUGAGUAUGGAGACUGGGUUUGGUUGCAGGCAAUUACAUCAUUGGAAUAUUCCUGUAUUUAGCUUCACUCUCCCCAAUUAUUAUGGUAUAAGAAGUCUAAGAACAAGAGCUGUGAUUCAUCCAAGAAGCUGGUGGUACAAAAUACAUACACCCUUACUGAUCCGGUGAGUUUACACACACACACCACACACACACGCACACGCACGCACACGCACACACAGGGGGCACACACACACCCACACGCACAAACUCACACACACACACACAUUCACUCACAUGCGCACACCAGGGGGCACACAGGCUGUGUGCCCACACACAACACACGCACGCACACGCACACACACUCACACACACCACACACGCACACACACACACACAUACACGCACACCCAGGGGCGUAGCAACCAUUGUUUCCUGGUUGCCCAGAAACCCCCCCAGGAGCUGCUGAGAAAAUUGGGCAGGGCUCCCCAAUAAUUGAAAUCAAGCAGCCCUGCCCAUCUUUUCAUGCACGUGGCUGCAAAUCAUGUAGAGAUAGCACCGUGAAUCGUUACACUUUGGCUAGCUUUGUCUCAGCUAGCUAGCUAGCUACCUCAAACAAAGAAGACCAAGACUUAAGUUCUAGUAUCAAUCCUGCAUGCUCCAGUAUUCUCAGACUCAGCUCUAAGCACAACUUUAUUCGAUAUUCAGGAAGGACAAGUUUAGAACAAUCUCAGCCACAUGAAACUUCUCGGGUAAAUGUAAUGGUGCUCAGCUAGACUAGCAAUACACAAUUGACACCUGCCUUUUAGAAUGUCUAUUAUGAGGCGUUUGAUGGGCAAAAAAUUGAUAGCUAGUAUUCUCUGAUGAAACUGGUAAAACAGUGACUGAUUCUAUUACAUCGAUCGAUUGAUCUGACAAUCCUUCGAAGUCUAAAUACAAAAGUAUCGGUCAGUAGCCAUACAACUGUAAUUCGACCUUUUCCAUACCAUGUUGCCUCACAUAACUCGAACCUGAAUGGGAGAUUUCACCAUACCUGCAAACCCUGUCACCCGUAUAUUUUAUUUAGAGCACUGCUAAAGCUAGCUAGCUGGCUGGGGGAUAUAUGGAGACCACCAUAGAACAAGCUUUUUUAGAUAUUGCAUCCUUUGUUCGAGUGACUGCAUCAAGGGAGGAAGGAGCGACACCUUCUGUUGCCGAAGCUACAUUGCUUAGGUUGGACGCCUACAUCCACUUUCUAAGCUCGUUUAGAGACUUACUAGGAGGUGGGGAUGUGGAUAUGGCUGAAGAAUUAGUACGUGAUGUGGAUACUCUAACCGAGAAUAUCAGCACAAUAUACGAUCGACGGAAAGAUAUUGAAGCUGGAGUAGACAUCACGUGUCCUAGUAGUGGACUCUUUGCUGAACUGAGACGAAAUGGCAGCCGAGGGAGCCCAAAGUAUAUAAUAAGCCGUGAACAGCUUCUGUUCUUGCAUGAAUUGAGACUAACCUGGACGAAAAUAGCCACAAUGUAUGGUGUAAGCCGUCGCACCAUGUACAACAUAAGGUUAGAAUUAGGACUGACGCAAAUUGAGUGCCCAAGAUUCUCAACAAUAUCAAAUGGAGAACUUGUGUCUAUUGUGUCUGAAAUCAAGUGUGAUUUUCCAGAUAUUGGUCAAACCAUGCUAAAAGGUAUUUUAGAUUCGAGAGGAAUCUAUGUACCAACAACAAGACUACGUGAUUGUUUGUCUGAGGUUGAUCCUGUCAACACUGCUCUACGCUGGACACUACCUAUUAGUAGGAGAGUAUACUCUGUCCACAUGCAAACUCAUUGUGGCACAUCGACAGAAACCACAAAUUAGUGAGAUGGCGAUUUGUUGUUCACGGUUCCAUUGAUGGAUUCUCGAGGUUUAUUGUAUACCUAUGGUGCUCCACUAACAACAAAAGUGACACAGUUUUGGCAUUGUUCCAUAAUGCAGUCCUGGAGUUUGGCCUUCCUGCAAGAUGCAGGAGUGACAAAGGAGGGGAGAACGUUAAGGUUGCGGAGUACAUGCUAUUGCACAGCCGAUGCUCUAAUCCCAUGCUUACCGGCUCAUCAGUUCAUAACCAACGAGUAGAACGACUGUGGAGGGAUGCAUAUCGUUGUGUGCUGUCACUUUAUUAUCAGGUUUUUUAUUACCUUGAGAACACGGAAUUGCUGGAUCCGAUUAAUGACAUCGAUUUGUUUUGCUUACAUUUUGUAUAUGAACAAAGGAUCAAUAAUUCUUUAAAAGCUUUUGUAGAUGGUUGGAACAAUCACGGCUUAUCUUAUCCACAGAAAAUAACAGAACUCCUAUACAGCUAUUUGUCUCAAGUUGUAUACAAACAACAGCUGCACAAAACCAUACUGAUGAUAUUAUACACCCGUUUAUGAAUGAAGUGUUCGCUGAAACUGUCGAAGUUCCAUCAACCUCAUGCCCUCUAUCACCGUCUCAGGAGAGGCACUUAAGGGGCAUCACAUCCUCAGAAUCCAGUGAUUAUGGCAUUGAAAUGUAUAAGAGUGUUCGUGACUUUG